This 477-nucleotide ribosomal RNA is filed under the name uncultured Rhodoferax sp. Its description in RNAcentral is "bacterial SSU rRNA". It matches the Rfam family "Bacterial small subunit ribosomal RNA", at positions 902 to 1382 of the family's 1533-position model. Lineage: Bacteria; Pseudomonadati; Pseudomonadota; Betaproteobacteria; Burkholderiales; Comamonadaceae. The record is from RNAcentral.
CAAAGGAAUUGACGGGACCGCACAAGCGGUGGAUGAUGUGGUUUAAUUCGAUGCAACGCGAAAACCUUACCCACCUUUGACAUGUACGGAACCCUUUAGAGAUAGAGGGGUGCUCGAAAGAGAGCCGUAACACAGGUGCUGCAUGGCUGUCGUCAGCUCGUGUCGUGAGAUGUUGGGUUAAGUCCCGCAACGAGCGCAACCCUUGUCAUUAGUUGCUACAUUCAGUUGGGCACUCUAAUGAGACUGCCGGUGACAAGCCGGAGGAAGGUGGGGAUGACGUCAAGUCCUCAUGGCCCUUAUAGGUGGGGCUACACACGUCAUACAAUGGCUGGUACAAAGGGUUGCCAACCCGCGAGGGGGAGCCAAUCCCAUAAAGCCAGUCGUAGUCCGGAUCGUAGUCUGCAACUCGACUACGUGGAGUCGGAAUCGCUAGUAAUCGUGGAUCAGAAUGUCACGGUGAAUACGUUCCCGGGUCUU